CUACGGGGGGCAGCAGUGAGGAAUAUUGGUCAAUGGACGAGAGUCUGAACCAGCCAAGUCGCGUGAAGGAUGAAGGUGCUAUGCAUUGUAAACUUCUUUUGUAAGGGAAUAAAAAGAGUUACGUGUAACUUAUUGUAUGUACUUUACGAAUAAGGAUCGGCUAACUCCGUGCCAGCAGCCGCGGUAAUACGGAGGAUUCGAGCGUUAUCCGGAUUUAUUGGGUUUAAAGGGUGCGUAGGCGGAAGAAUAAGUCAGCGGUGAAAGUUUGCAGCUCAACUGUAAAAUUGCCAUUGAAACUGUUUUUCUUGAGUGCAAAUGAGGUAGGCGGAAUGUGUUGUGUAGCGGUGAAAUGCUUAGAUAUAACACAGAACCCCGAUUGCGAAGGCAGCUUACUGGGAUGCAACUGACGCUGAGGCACGAAAGCGUGGGGAUCAAACAGGAUUAGAUACCCUGGUAGUC
Molecule: ribosomal RNA, 459 nt
Filed under: uncultured bacterium
Lineage: Bacteria
Description: partial 16S ribosomal RNA
Rfam family: Bacterial small subunit ribosomal RNA
Source: RNAcentral